AUCCAGCUGGCGAGUCCCGAAUAUGACGAAACACGAGUCCUGGAU
RNAcentral lists this non-coding RNA (45 nucleotides) under Schistosoma mattheei. The record is from RNAcentral. Lineage: Eukaryota; Metazoa; Platyhelminthes; Trematoda; Strigeidida; Schistosomatidae.